Molecule: ribosomal RNA, 402 nt
Filed under: uncultured bacterium
Lineage: Bacteria
Description: bacterial SSU rRNA
Rfam family: Bacterial small subunit ribosomal RNA
Source: RNAcentral
GGAAUAUUGCACAAUGGGGGAAACCCUGAUGCAGUGACGCCGCGUAUAGGAAGAAGGUCUUUGGAUUGUAAACUAUUGUCGACAGGGAAGAAAAAAAUGACAGUACCUGUGGAGGAAGCCCCGGCAAACUACGUGCCAGCAGCCGCGGUAAUACGUAGGGGGCGAGCGUUAUCCGGAUUUAUUGGGUGUAAAGGGUGCGUAGACGGUUAGACAAGUUGGUUGUGAAAUCCCUCGGCUUAACUGAGGAACUGCAACCAAAACUGCCUAACUUGAGUGCGGGAGAGGAAAGCGGAAUUCCUAGUGUAGCGGUGAAAUGCGUAGAUAUUAGGAGGAACACCAGUGGCGAAGGCGGCUUUCUGGACCGUAACUGACGUUGAGGCACGAAAGUGUGGGGAGCAAACA